AGAGUUUAAAAAUUAGAAAGUAGAGAAGGAAUUGGGAUUUCUAUAUUUAAAAAAUAAAAGUAGAAAUUACAAUAAAAAUAUAUUUUUCCACCUCAAAGUGUAGUGCAUAAUUAAAUACAUAUUUGCUUCAUCAUUACCACAGGAAUGAAAGUUAAAUUUUUUCCCUAUGUUCUCAGGUGUUUUUUUUGUAGCUUACUUUUUCUUUAUUACGUCUAUUUUAGUGUGAAGAGGAAAUCUGGCUUUGUAUAAGUUUAUUUCCCACUCAUAUCACAAUAAGUUUGAUUGGUUCUCUCAGGCAGUUUAUCAGGGUGAUGAGUUCCUUCUGUUAUAUGAUUUUGCUUCAAUUUCAAAGACUGGAAGAGAGAACACAGGCCUGUCCUGAGAUAUCUACCAACUGCUAUCUUGUCUUCCUGGCCAUUAGAAUGUGUGAUGAUAUUCAGAACCUACUUAACAUUUCUUUGUUCUAAAUAUACUAGACUUCUUGAAUCUUUGCAUUUCAUCUGGCAUAAAAAGUUUAGAAGGUAAGUCUUCAGAAAGAAGUAGAUCCUAUGUAUCAGAUAGAGAAGUGGAGAAAAAGACAUUCAAAGGUAGUGGAACCAGAGGUUAUUCUCAGGUUACUAAAUGCAAAAGAACAGAAAAGCAAAACAAGGUGGUCAAAAUUGC
Molecule: long non-coding RNA, 663 nt
Filed under: Vulpes vulpes (red fox)
Lineage: Eukaryota; Metazoa; Chordata; Mammalia; Carnivora; Canidae
Description: lncRNA (ENSVVUG00000019972.1)
Source: RNAcentral